UACGAAGGGGGCUAGCGUUGCUCGGAAUCACUGGGCGUAAAGCGCACGUAGGCGGCUUCUUAAGUCAGGGGUGAAAUCCUGGAGCUCAACUCCAGAACCGCCUUUGAUACUGGGAGGCUCGAGUCCGGGAGAGGUGAGUGGAACUGCGAGUGUAGAGGUGAAAUUCGUAGAUAUUCGCAAGAACACCAGUGGCGAAGGCGGCUCACUGGCCCGGUACUGACGCUGAGGUGCGAAAGCGUGGGGAGCAAACAGG
RNAcentral lists this ribosomal RNA (253 nucleotides) under uncultured bacterium. Its description in RNAcentral is "partial 16S ribosomal RNA". It matches the Rfam family "Bacterial small subunit ribosomal RNA", at positions 524 to 776 of the family's 1533-position model. The record is from RNAcentral.